ACGACGAAAUACAAGGUGAUGCAUGGUCGUAGUCAGUUCGGGCUGUGAAGUGUUUGGUUAAGUCCUAUAACGAGCUGCAACCCCUAUCGUUAGUAGCCAUCAGGAAAAGCGGGGGACUCUAACAAAACGGCAGGUGUAAACAGUGAGGAAGGUGGGGAUGAGGUCAAAUCAUCAUUGCCUCUACGCGAUGGGAUGCACACCUGGCACAACGGGUGGAACAA
This 221-nucleotide ribosomal RNA is filed under the name uncultured Yeosuana sp. RNAcentral describes it as "partial 16S ribosomal RNA". It matches the Rfam family "Bacterial small subunit ribosomal RNA", at positions 1023 to 1242 of the family's 1533-position model. Lineage: Bacteria; Pseudomonadati; Bacteroidota; Flavobacteriia; Flavobacteriales; Flavobacteriaceae. The record is from RNAcentral.